Molecule: ribosomal RNA, 775 nt
Filed under: uncultured Neocallimastigales
Lineage: Eukaryota; Fungi; Neocallimastigomycota; Neocallimastigomycetes; Neocallimastigales
Description: partial large subunit ribosomal RNA
Rfam family: Eukaryotic large subunit ribosomal RNA
Source: RNAcentral
AGAGAGAGACAUGCGCGCAUAUCAAUAAGCGGAGGAAAAGAAACUAACAAGGAUUCCCUUAGUAACGGCGAGUGAAGCGGGAAGAGCUCAAAUUUGAAAUCUUCAAGGUUUUACCUUGACGAAUUGUAGUUUAAAGAAGUGUUUUCUGCUGAAGUUUUGGUAAAAGUUCUUUGGAAUAGGACAUCAUAGAGGGUGAGAAUCCCGUAUUUGACCAUUAUUUUCAGCUUUGUGAUACACUUUCAAAGAGUCGGAUUGUUUGGGAAUGCAGUCCAAAAUGGGUGGUAAAUUUCAUCUAAAGCUAAAUAUUGGCGAGAGACCGAUAGCGAACAAGUACCGUGAGGGAAAGAUGAAAAGAACUUUGAAAAGAGAGUUAAACAGUACGUGAAAUUGUCAAAAGGGAAGCGUUUGACACCAGUGUUGCUUUUCUCGAAAAUCAAUUAAAAAUGGCUCGAUUUUGUAUUGUUGAGACCUUAAAAGCUCACUGUACAUUUUUCGUGUCUUUUUUAAUGCACUUUUCGUUUAACAAGUCAACAUCAGUUUCUUUUGUUGUAAAAGGGUCAUUGGAAGGUGGCUUUCUUUUCGGAGAAAGUGUUUAUAGCCUUUGGCCUCUGCAAUCGGAGAGACUGAGGUCUGCAGCGUAGACUCUUCGGGGUUAGAUACAUUUGUGCUAAGUUAUAGCUUUUUAUAGACAACUUGUUGACUAUAAUUAGUCUUGUAGCUUACUCGCUUAUGCUAUUUUACCUACGCUUAGGAUGUUGAGUCGUAGAGCACGCAG